Molecule: ribosomal RNA, 433 nt
Filed under: cf. Mopsus sp. New Caledonia WM16
Lineage: Eukaryota; Metazoa; Arthropoda; Arachnida; Araneae; Salticidae
Description: partial 16S ribosomal RNA
Source: RNAcentral
UUCUAUUAGAAAUAUUUAAUAGUAAAAUCUGCUCAAUGAAUAUUAAAUAGCCGCAAUUCGUGCUAAGGUAGCAUAAUCAUUUGUCUUCUAAAUAAAGACUAGAACAAAAGAUUUAACAUUUCAAUAAAUUUUUUCAAUUUAAAAUUCCAAAAUUUUCUCAAAUGUAAAAAGACAUUUAUUAAAAAAAAAGACGAUAAGACCCUACUGAACUUAACUUAAGUUAAACUGGGGUAGUAAAUCAAUUAUUAUUUUAAUAUUAAUAUUUAAUAAAAUAUCCAUUAUUAUUGAAUAAUUCAGUUACCAUAGGGAUAACAGCAUAAUUAUAUAUAAAAGUCCUUAUACAAUAUAUAGAUUAUGACCUCGAUGUUGAAUAAUAACCUAACUAAAGCAAAGUUUAAAUAUAGGAAGUCUGUUCGACUUUUAAAAAAUUACA